This is a long non-coding RNA of Anoplophora glabripennis (Asian longhorned beetle), 356 nucleotides long. RefSeq lists it as uncharacterized. The record is from RefSeq and is a predicted model, not a curated record. The transcript has 3 exons. NCBI's taxonomy places the organism in Eukaryota, Metazoa, Arthropoda, Insecta, Coleoptera, Cerambycidae.
CCAAUAUGUCCAAGUUUGGUUUGCCGAUUUGCCUAAUAUACUGAAGUUAACGCGUGCCGGUUUACAUUGUUUGUAAUAAUGUCGGAGUUUCAAUGUGGUUACGUCAUGAUCCACGUUUUCUGGCCUGGGUCUUUCAGCAGAUUAAAAAGCAGGUAUACAAGAUCUCAGGACUUUCUUAAACGUUACGAUCUUGCCAGGAAUUUUUGGACAACUGGACUGCCUCUGAUCUUUGAUUACUGAUAAAAAGAUAAUAGGUGCAAUGAAAAAAACUUAUGGGAAAAUGUUACAUUAACACAAAGUUCUAUUCUCAAAGAUUUUGUUCGCAUUCUCCUUAGGGCACAAUUUUUUAGUAACUG